AGGUCCUGCCUGCCCUGUGACUCUAUGUUUAACGGCCGCGGUAUUUUAACCGUGCAAAGGUAGCGCAAUCACUUGUCCCUUAAAUAGAGACCUGUAUGAAUGGCAUAACGAGGGCUAAACUGUCUCCUUUCCCUAGUCAAUGAAAUUGAUUUACCCGUGCAGAAGCGAGUAUAAAACCGUAAGACGAGAAGACCCUGUGGAGCUUUCAGACAAAGGACAGAUUAUGUUAAAUAACCCCUAUAAAGARUCUAAACCAAAUAACUUCUGUCCCUAUCUUUGGUUGGGGCGACCGCGGGGAAACAACCAACCCCCACGUGGAAUAAGUAUACUUCUACCUUAAAGCUAGAGCCACAGCUCUAACAAACAGAACAUCUGACCAUACAAGAUCCGGCACUGCCGAUCAACGGACCAAGUUACCCCAGGGAUAACAGCGCAAUCCCCUUCUAGAGCCCAUAUCGACAAGGGGGUUUACGACCUCGAUGUUGGAUCAGGACAUCCUAAUGGUGCAACCGCUAUUAAGGGUUCGUUUGUUCAACGAUUAAAGUCCU
Molecule: ribosomal RNA, 548 nt
Filed under: Odontobutis obscura
Lineage: Eukaryota; Metazoa; Chordata; Actinopteri; Gobiiformes; Odontobutidae
Description: partial 16S rRNA
Rfam family: Bacterial large subunit ribosomal RNA
Source: RNAcentral